CUCUAAAUCAAGGGUCUUUUAUCCUUUUUCUACUCUGUUAACAAUGCUAAGACCUAGAUAGAUGACUAGACCACAUUGCAAAGAAAAUGAAAUUUUGAUGGCUAAUUGGAACUUUUAAAAUUUUUGGGGUCUAAGUCUAAUUAGCUCAAACUUGAAGGGGUGUCCCUAUAUUUUUUCAAAAAAAAAUCUCAAUCUUUGGUUGUUGUCAAUUUGAAGACUCAAAGUCUUCUUGAGG
This 235-nucleotide long non-coding RNA is filed under the name Elaeis guineensis (African oil palm). RNAcentral describes it as "long non-coding RNA (EGUI_LNC021489)". The record is from RNAcentral. Lineage: Eukaryota; Viridiplantae; Streptophyta; Magnoliopsida; Arecales; Arecaceae.